RNAcentral lists this long non-coding RNA (1100 nucleotides) under Equus asinus (donkey). Its description in RNAcentral is "lncRNA (ENSEASG00005028203.1)". Lineage: Eukaryota; Metazoa; Chordata; Mammalia; Perissodactyla; Equidae. The record is from RNAcentral.
UUGGUGAGGAUGUGGAGAAAUCAGGGCCCUUGUUCAUCACUGCUGGGAAUGCAACAUGGUGCAGCCACUUUGGAAAACAGUCUGGAAGCUCCUCGGAAAGCAAAACAUAGAAUUACCAGGGGGCCCAACAAUUCCACUCCUAGCGCCAACACCAAGCACUGGCUCCGGCAUGUAAUAGUCGCUCAAUAAACGCCUGACAAAUGAAUGGCACAAAGAAGGCGCUCGAGAAACGUAAACAGUGUUGAAGCAACUCACCUAAUGCCACGCGCUUCAGAGGGAGAAGGGACUUCGCUGGUCGUGUGUGGAUGCCCUUGGUGUUCAGGUGUCACAGGUCCAGCAAAACAAGAACCUCGCUGUAGCCCUGGAGGCCUGGGAGGAAGGGGCCGAGGUGAAACCACGCUCUGGCCAGGGAACUCAUGGAAAAGCAGCCUCGCUUCCUGCGCAGCUGCUCUGGGCCCCCAACCCGGUUUUAAACCACAGCCUCAGACACACUUCGUCUUUGCAGGGUGGCUGAAAAGUUCCGGUAAAGCAACCGUGGGCUUGCUCCAUGCUGGGGCGAAGAGCGGGCAGGAAGCGGGGCUGCGUCAGGACGCGGUGCCUCCCCUGAGAGGCAGGGGGCUGGCGAAGGCUGAGGGGCAGGUGCAGACGGUGAGCCGGGAGAUAGGAAAGGCCUGCUGACGUGAAUGCUGCGCGAGCCUGGAGCCGAGGGGAGCUGAAACCAGAUCCUGUCUGGGCCGCUGAAGGGAAGCUUUUCUUCACUGGGGCACUGCCUGGCGAGGCCCGGAGCGAGCGUGACCUGGGGGCGUCCAGUGCCCGCUCUGAGAAGCCACACAAUACACUGGUGUUUGCGCACUUCCCGUCCCUCCUCGAAUGUAAAGCGCUUUGUUUUUGUUUCUAAUUAUAAAAUAAAUGCAUUGUCAUUGGAAACAAUUCAGACAGUAAGUAGAAAUAUAAAGUGGCAAAAAUGAGCCUUAAUAUCAUUAUACUCAAGCGUUUGAACAUUGUGCCUCUUCUCCAUUCUUUCCUAUGUUUGCAUCCACACACACGUGCUUUGUGAUUGUUUGUUUUGAUUGUUUAUGUUUCUAUUUAUAUUUUAUUAG